Molecule: ribosomal RNA, 253 nt
Filed under: uncultured bacterium
Lineage: Bacteria
Description: partial 16S ribosomal RNA
Rfam family: Bacterial small subunit ribosomal RNA
Source: RNAcentral
UACAGAGGUCCCAAGCGUUGUUCGGAUUCACUGGGCGUAAAGGGUGCGUAGGCGGUCGGGUAAGUCUGAUGUGAAAUCUCACAGCUUAACUGUGAAACUGCAUUGGAUACUAUCCGGCUCGAGGAAUGGAGGGGAGACUGGAAUACUUGGUGUAGCAGUGAAAUGCGUAGAUAUCAAGUGGAACACCAGUGGCGAAGGCGAGUCUCUGGACAUUCCCUGACGCUGAGGCACGAAAGCCAGGGGAGCAAACGGG